RNAcentral lists this long non-coding RNA (30731 nucleotides) under Coffea arabica (coffee). RNAcentral's name for it is "long non-coding RNA (CARA_LNC007861)". Lineage: Eukaryota; Viridiplantae; Streptophyta; Magnoliopsida; Gentianales; Rubiaceae. The record is from RNAcentral.
AAGUACUAAAGAUACUCAAGAAGGCAUUGGAGGAGCUUGCUCCUUGGGCAGUUGGUUUUGGAAACAUAUUCCAUGUACUUUCUUGAGAGAGAAACUUACAUUUAGUAGUUCUAUGUAGGAUCUAUGGUGUGGGAUUGCGUCAAGUCUGCAGUAUUUUCCAUAGAACAUGGCUACUAUUAGUUCUAUGGCUACUAUUAAAGUGUUUGCGGUGAAUAAUGGACAGCUAUUAUAUUGUCUAUGAUGAUGAUGAUGUUGCAUUGUGGUAAAUGUCAACAAUUGUGGACCUGUUGACAUUGACUUUGGCAUGUCUAGUGUUUGUGGUAAUAGUAGAAAAUGGUAUUUUUGGAUCAGUGAUCCUGUAACCUGUUGCCUAAAGCCCUGUUACGUUGGUUGAGUUGCUUUGAAUGUUGGUUUGCAAAAGAGACGUGUUUGUGGGAGUCUUUCGAUUUUGGCAUCCUGUUUCUACGUUGUUUUCAUUUUUGAGCUUGCAUUAGAUAAAGUGCUCUUUACUUUAACCGAGAAUGAUAAUAUUGUGGAGCGUUAGCCUGUCCUUGUUGAAUUGUGAAACAGGUAUUUACAAUUCUUGAGGUGGGUAUCUCACUAAAACUGGUCGGUUAGGUUUCAGUGCAUGCGUCUGUUUGUGCUAGACUGUUGUUGAUCCAGCUGGUUCUACAGGCUGUUUGAGGAUUAUUACUAGUUGCUUUUUCUUCCCUUGUUUAGUUUUCAAGCCAGUAUUUUCGCGGGGUAUAUUUGAGCAAGUUACCGAAUUCCCAAUUCUCUAGCAUAGGUUCUUUUUGUUCGAGAAGGAACAAAGAAAACUUUGAAUGUGAAAAUUGUGAGGUUGUAGAACAAGAAAUUUCUGAGCGGAUAAGCAAACAAAAUCAAGGACACAAUGGCCUCAUAAGUUCGAACCACUUCCAAGUAUCUGCUCCUCUUUUCUCCUUCAAGAAUGUGUGUGGUCUGUCUUUGUGAGUGAGUGAGUUUGUUCGUUCUCCAGAAAGAAGUGCAAUGAAGAAUGCCUUGUGGCUUACAUGAAAAACAACCAGCUUAGUAAAUGUUUAAUAGAUCAAAAGAAAAGAAUCAUGAUACUGCUUCUCAAAGGGGUGCUAUAUUGUUCAAAAAAAGGAAGGGACGGGAUUAGGUGAUUUAGAAGAGGACGUGUAAGCGAGAAGUUUCGGAUUCAAACACAUCUAUUACUUAGGUGAUUUAGAAGAGGGGGUGUAAGCGAGAAGUUUCGGAUUCAAACACAUCUACUACUUGCACUAGAAAGAAAGAGGGUAUUAUGCUAUAACCUUCUUAAAAACUUGUCAAAAACUUUUUCAUUUUUAUAACUUACGCAAAAAAGCUAAUAAAAAUGGAGUGAAAAAAACACUGGGAAAAUGAUUAAUGCUAGUAAUCUUAAGGGGAUUUGUCUUAUAUUUUAUUAAAUUAGACCUGUGUUUCAUUUGGAUUUGACUCCUAUACUAAAGUUCCAAGAACUUCAUUAUAAACCAUCUGGUUGCAUGUAAUUUCUUACCCAUUCUCGUUCGUUGCGAAUUUUACUUCUCACGAGCUUUCUCCUAUUCAUGUUUAUCAGUCCUAGAGUAUAUAGCUGCUGCUGCUUUUUUUUUUUUUUUUUUUUUUUUGGAAAGAAGGUUACACGUACCGGUUUUGUGACUCCAAAAAAUUUAGUAGCUUAUUCAUUAAUCAAUAGCAUCCCUUCACCUCAAAAAAUUGUCAUCAUAGUAAAGAACAUUCUGCAUUGUAGUAAUAGUUUUAUUUUUUAUUUUUUUGGUUUUAGUGGAGCCAUCAAAUUUGAGUAGUCUCAAUGACAUUCAGCUUCAGGAUCUACUCUGCUUGAAGCAAACAGCUUCAAGGUCUUUCAUUAAUAUUACUUGCCUAGCACCUAGUCCUUGCUCUAACUACUGAUGUGAAGGAAGUUUGAUCAGGCUUUUAAAUGGGAGUCUGUUUUCACUUGCCAAACUGGUGCUAACGCUUCAUAUAUAGAGAUCAUAAGUGCCAGAGCUCAUGGUAGAGAAACAAGUGCAGAACUCCAGAUCCUUCAACAUGAUCAUGACCAAGUCUAUUCAAAGUUUGCUAGACCAAUUUCAAACAUAAUAACCACCACCAACUACAAAUCCCAUUACAGCCAAUGCAGAAGUAAAUAGACAGUACACCAAUAAAAGCCAUUUGACUUGCUUUGUCUGGAUACAUCAAGAGUAUAAUUACCUAGUUUGAGCAAAUUCUUUUUCUAGUAUAUGGUACAAAAGGUCCUUUAUGUUGUUAUAGCAAUACUGGAACAACAUGGCGAUUAAGAGUAAAACCACGAACCAAAUCCAUCCGUGGAGACCUUUUUACAGAAUUGGCAAUGUGGAUCACCUUCCAGAUUCCUUAAGUAGCUUUCUUUGACCUGUAUGCUUUGGCACAAAAGAUAUAGAUGACCAUGUUCAAGAAGCUUAGACCAGCCAAGAGCCAGAAGAAAUAAUCAAGAUGGCCCUCAUUCAAGUUAUCUGGAAUCCAUCCAAAUUUUCCUCCUCUAGUGGUUAUGGUUGUAACUACGGUCAGAAUGAGAGCGCUCAAGUAAUUUCCCAAACAAGUUGUCAGAAGUGACAAGGCUGCGCACAAACUUCGCAUGGCAUCUGGCGAUUGGUCAUAGAAGAACUCAAGCUGACCAAUGAAGAAAAAAACUUCAGCAGCCCCCAAUAAGAAAUAUUGAGGUACUUGCCAAAAGAUAUUAAGCGGGACUGCAACAGCUUCAUCAACAAGUCCAAGGUCUCUUGCAAGUUGCAGUCGCUUAAUCUCCACCACAGCGGCAGCAGCCAUGCAGAAAACAGAAACAAAAAGACCAAUUCCCAUCCGUUGCAGUUCUGUAAAUCCCCUUUCCUUGCCAGUAAACUUUCUAGCAAUGGGGACAAGGAUCCUGUCAUAGACUGGAACCCAAAAGAUCACACUGAUAACAUCAAAUGUUGAAAGAGAAGCUGCAGGAAUUGUAAAGGAACCGAUCGAAGUAUCCAUCAUCAUCCCCUGCUCCACAAACAUGGUUGACAUUUGAGCAUAAACAGCAGAAAACACUAUUCCUGUUGCCCAGAUGGGAAACAUCCGGAUUAAGAUCUUCAGUUCCUCAACCUGAGUAACUGUGCAAACCUUCCAAGGAUUGGACAAAUCACCAGUUUUGAUCUCAGCUUCUGAUAUUACAGCAGCUUUAUCAAGGCAUCUGCAGAACAAAGAGCACAUGAUGAAGAUAGACCCAUUGGAAAGCAAAGAAAAUGGAGAGCCUUCAAGGGGCAGAGAUGGGAUCAAAUUCUACUCCACUUUUUGACAGAUCUUUAGUGAGAAACUAAGUUGGUCAAUGUAGUACAACUGAACUUGCAUUGACCAGGAAAAUGUUUAUUAAUGUAGCAUAAUUUUGCAAAUCUCUCAAAUAGCGCAUUUCCAUGGACCACCAAAUUGCUAAAUCUUUUCUCAAUGGUGUCUUUAAUUUUUCUAUGAGUUGGAAUAAAACAGUCUAUGUUGUAAACAACUAUCCACAAUUCAAAAUGCAAUAACAACGGUGUUUGGUGCAAUUUACUUGAUUUGAGCAAUGUAAUCCAAGAAAAUCUACACAAUCGUUUUAAGAAUCUAAAGAUGCAAGCCUAGGGAAGAGGAGGUGAAUUGAGUCACUUGCAACACCAGAUUACUAAGUGAAAAAGUGAAUGCAACAAGAGGACUCCAUGUAGAAUAUUUCACUGGCAUUACCAAACUCCCCCCCCCCCCCUCUCUCCCCACCCCAAAAGAAAAAAAUAGAAAGUACAACAAAACAGUCAAUGUAAAUGUAGCAUAAAAAUACUUGCCAAAACACAGUCAGCGAUGUAAACAAGGAAGUAACAAGCUAACUUAAAUCUGAUUGAACAAGAAGGGUUAUGAUUUGGAAUCUCACUUUAAUUCAUCAGUGUGAAACAGCUUUCUACUUCCUUCAAUUGCCGAGAAUUCAUCUUGUGUCUCAUACAGAAGAUUACUAUCCUCCGGAACAGGCAAACUCCACUUACGACAUGAAGCCACCAAAACCUGGCACAUCCUUGUGAUUGGGCUUCCUCCAGGUUUCUGAAACCUAUAAAGAGGAGUGCCAGAAAAGAAACUCACAAUAGCAAUGGCCAUAACCACAGCAGGAAUGCCAAAACCAAGGCCCCACCCAGCAUUAUCUUGAAUCCAGACAAUCAAGCUACUUGAAACAAAAGCCCCUAUGUUGACUGAGAAAUAAAACCAAUUAAAAAAGGACCCCUUCUUGGCCCUCUCCUUUGGAUCUGUAUCAUCAAAUUGAUCAGCACCAAAUGAUGAAACACAUGGUUUGAUCCCACCAGUUCCAAGUGCUAUCAAAUAUAGGCCAAUAAAAAAUAUGGCAUACUGAGCAGGAGUAGCUGAAGGGCAUACAGAAUCCACACAUUCAGCAGGCCGAAAAGCAGGAACUGUCGCUGAGAGAGACAAUGUGCACAUUCCCUGUAGAUAACGAUUACAGAAAGAUAGUAUGAGCAAUCAAUAAAGUGAAAACACACCAAGCUUAAAGCAAGUAAAGCCUGCUGCAUCAGUAAAGAACAUGAUGAGCAAAAAGCCAAUAAAAGAGCCCAGUUACUAUCUAUGGCAUGGCUAAAUCAAAUGACUGCUAUGCCAAAUAAUAUGGAAAUGCUAGAUAUGAUGCAACAGGAACUAAGAAAUCCCACUUAAAAAAAAGUGCUGAGCACUAUGUAGAUUGUAGGCAUGAUUUACUGAAGGACAAAGUGAUAAUCAUUGGGAAGUCAUAAAAGUGGACAAAGAUAAGAAUCCCUUAUUGGAGUUGAUGAAAUAAACUACUGCUGCAAUUUUUCUUCCUUAGGAAUUUCUUUUCUUCUCCUACUCUUGCUUGGAUUCAGAUUCCAUAAAGCCAUUAAUUAUUCUCCUGAAUUUCCAUGUAGAUGAAAUAAACUACUGCUACAAUUUUUCUUCCUUAGGAAUUUCUUUUCAACUUAUCUCCUACUCUUGCUUGGAUUCAGAUUCCAUAAAGCGAUUAAUUAUUCUCCUGAAUUUCCAUCACUAUUUCAAGAACUUGUGACAGUUUCUCCAACCACCUUAUCCUAUUUGACCAAGAACUGUUGACUUCAGUGAUGUAGUGAGGUUCUGAAAGAGGAAAAUUCCCAACAAUUUGAACAAUGAACGUAAAACACCUAACUAAAGUAAAUACAUAUUUUGUAGAAGUCCAAACAUCCUUCGUAAAACCUUGGCAAUAUGGAUAAGAAGCAAUGAUGAAAGCAAUUAUCAAUAAUGAUCUCGAACAUGUACUAUAUCCAACCCUUUAUAAAAGCAGGAGAAGGAAAUGAAAUGAACUUAAAGAAUAUUACAAUGAAAUAAAUAGUGGAGAAGGUAGCAAUUGUCCAGUAUCUUCCCCAACAUGCAUCUGCUAUUACUGCCCCAAUAAGCGGAGUUAAAUAGCAAGUGCCCUGCCAAGUUGUGACAUUUCUUGCGGCUGAAACAUUUCCUUCAUGCAUCUUUUUGGUGAGAUAAGUAACAAGAUUAGUAGAUAUCCCAUAGUAGGCCAAGCGUUCACAACAUUCAGUACCUGUUACCAUUUCACUUGUUGACUUAGAAUGUUUGACAGUCAAAAAAUAUGAAAAAAAGAUGAGAGAAGAGCGAAGAACUACCAAGAAUGAAUGGACAUGCUCUCCAGUUUCCUGUGUUGCUUUUUAGAACAGGUUUUCCAUUGAUGUCUACUGAACCAUCUCCAGUAUAUAGUCCAUUGCUUUCAUUCUGAAAAGGGAGAAGACCAAUACAUAUGGUAAUACAAGUUCAAAGUAAGAUUUUUUGCACAUCAACUCCCAUGAGAUACAGAUAGAGAGGCACACUUCUGAUGAUAGAGUUAGCCUAUCUGUUCCUACCUGCAUAUAUUUCUCAUAUAAUUCUCAUUAAAACAAUGUAUUCCUCAUAACAAGAAAAUUCUAAGAUAUUACAGCACAUGGUUAGCUGAAACCCUCUAAAAUAUCACUGAUCGUGGAUUAGCACAUGCACAUAAUCACAGAAAGAAUGUUUCAGAUGUCCAACUAACAUUUUGUAUGCAGGUUAGACACUCAAGUCAGAACAUUGAUGGCCAAAGGUUAAAAAAUAUGAAAGCAUUAGAUAAUUUUACAACCAACUGAAGCUUAACAAGUAAAAGGUCGUAAUCAAGAAUGUCCAAAAGACAUCCAGAGAUAAAGCUUAUGCAAGACCAAAGUUUAUCAGCCAAGCACCGUAAGUAAACAACACUUUGGAAAAGUCAUAUGAAGAUUAGAUUAAAUUGCCAUAAUUAGCCACAAAAAGUCACAUUCAGUAGUUCAGUUGGGAACUUUAAACACACAGCACCAAAUAAAACAGACAUAGAUCAAAUAUUUUGCCCAAAAACAUAAACAAGUUUUAACAUCUACUAGAAACCCACAAGGAACGAUGCCCAAGAACAGGAAGUUAUGAAGCGUGUGCAAAUUCACAUACAGUAACAGCAUGCGCAAUUAUACCUUGAAGUAGAUAAACUAGUUCUAAAUCUCAUGACUUAGAAGAGCAAAGACAGCUCCUCUAAAGGUCUAUAUCCCUAGAGCAGCAGCAUCACUAAUGAGGCAUUUCAAGCUAUUUAUCUAAAGGGUACUAAUCAAAAUGUCAUUCACUGAACUUUGUCAAAUUUUGCAUCAUUGCAAGUUGUAUGAUCAUCCACACUCACCAAACACAUUAAACUCAGCUAUUCACCAAAAAUAGUUAAUCAUCCAUUUAAGUAUUUUGCAGCCCUAGAAGAUGUAGCUGUUGGGAUUUUACUGAUACAAGUAACAAUCCUAUAAUUGACUUACAGCUUCUUUUCCAGGUCACCACUUUUUCAUGAUUUAGAAGCCUUAUCAAACUAAGAGACAGAAAAUUCCUUUAACUAAAAUAAAUCAUAUAUGAUCAAUCUUUUUCCACAAUGAUUUAAAAUAAAUUGAAAAUUUUAAGUCCUAAAUAUUAAUUUGUUUUUCAUAUAGCUGUACCAAAUCCCAAAUCCUGUUAUCCAAAAUCAUAUUCUUUUCCCAAAUGCAAAGUCAAGGAAAAGUAGUUCCAAAAUUGUCCCACAAUAAAAAAACGAGACAGGAACUUGCGUGAAAGCCAAAGCUAUUGCUUCAUCUGCUCAACCUCAAUUCCUUAAUACUUAAAAAACUCUUCAAAAUCCACUCUUUAUAGAACCUUAAACAUUCCAGGAAAGGGGGAAAAAUCUGAAAAUUCCACAGCACAAAUCUAAAAUUGCAAUCACAGUGCGAAUUGGAGCAAUCCAAAUCGAACCCAGAUACUAUUUUUGGCCAAGAAAUCGACCAUGCAUGAAUUACAACUGAAAUUACAAUCAGCUGACUUAUUCCAAGACAGCCCUUUUCUUCUCAAUUAUAAAGCAAUAACGUAUGUACAUGUGGACAGAUGGAGAGAAGCAAAACCUGAACAAGUCCCUCUUCCAAGAGCAGCCUGUCAUCUUCUUGAGUACCCAUUGAAGAAGACAAAUUCAGGAAAGAUUUUGAUGAUUGAUUGAUACACUUUUUAUUACUGGUUCGGUGCAGAGAGAAUCUGAAGGAGAAACAAGAAGGGAAGGGAGACACGGGAGAAUCCUGGAUAAACAGAGUCGUUUUAAUCGGAAAUUAGAAUCUAUUUGUCUUUCCCUAUCGAAAAUUCAGUGGGGACUUGGGAAUUGGGGCUUUUGAGUACGGCCGGACCCAUUUAAACAAUUAUUUGUUUGUUUUUCUUUGUGUUUAUACAUGUAUGUGGAUUUGGGAACUUUGGAUGGUGGUUUAUUUGUUGAAUUUUAUUUGAUUACAUCACAAACAUAUUUUUUUAAUUUUUUUUAAUUUUUUCAAUCAUUUUUUAACAUAUCAUGUUAAAAGAAAAGUGUUACAGUGUUUUUUAAAAUAUUAUUUCAAAUAAUCUCCGAUCCAAAUAAAUUUUUCUUGAGUUUUUCAAAUGUGUAAUUAUAAAUUUUUCUUCAGUUUUACCAAAUUUUUUUGUUAGCUUAAUUAAGAUUUUUAACUUCAACUUAUGACCAAAUUUAAGUUGCAUUCAAGCAGCUGGGGUUUUUUUUUAAAAAAAAAUUUCAGCAAUGGAGGGAUGAGAUUUAAAAAACGAAGAGGAGAUUUAAGGAUUAGAAUUCAAGGUCUCUAAUUUCUGAAAAAUUUAUAACUGAUAAACUAUAAAUAAUAAAUAUUUUUUCUAAAUUACAAACACAUUCUUGUCUUUCCACUAGUUUAAGUUACUAUCAAGCAAAAAUGUUGGAAAGUGAAAAUAUCUACUAGAGAUGGCAACCAAUAGCCUCAUCCCUAGUCUCUCCUUUUCUACAUUAGUUUCAACUUUUAUUUCAAAAGACAUUAUUAAAAGAAAAAAAAACUUUUAUUUCAAAAGAAAACCAGUAGUAGCAUCCAUUAGUUUUUAUUUUUUUAAAGUAUUUUAAUUUUUUAUUUUAAAAGCGAAUCGAUAACGGAACCUUAAUUACUUUUGAUCCCAAAACUUACAAUUAAUUACGUGUGAUGCAUGUUACAAACUAAAUUGAAAUUUGUUAUGUAUUACUCUUUUUUUUUUUGGGAAGUUAAUUGAAGGUUUUGGAACAAUUUCCAAACCUGAGCAAACCAACUGCCAAAGUAUGCUGAAAAAAAAUAAAACUCCCAAGGUAUGCUCAUUUGGGGUAAACAAAUGGCCAAGAACUAGCAAACCAACCAAAUUCCGACAUAUUUAUUCAAGGCAAACACUUGGGUAGACCUAUCUAUAUAAACGUAAUUGCUCAAAAUUUGCCACAUAUCUCACCAAUUCAAGUAUUGAACGUGUGAUAAACUUUAGACCAUUAAAUCUACAAGAUCAACGCUACGCAAAUUUCUGCCUUCAUUUAAAUGAGUAGGAACUACAAGAAGCCAACAACUUACCGCGAUAUUCAUUAAAGUUCAUUUCGUCAAGGCACCGAUGUCACGACUUUAAGACAAGUAGAUAGAAAAGCGUUACAGCAUUGCGUGAUGGCUAAUGUAGCCGCAAAGACGGGAAAGGUGAGAAAGAAGGGGAAGCAGGCAAGCUUUGGAACUUUGAAAGUGAAAGGGAAUAAUUUCCAAAAUAUGCUUUUACACCAUGAAUUUCAGCUGGAAUAUCUUUCUUUUUAUAGUCAUUGGUUUUGAAUAAAGGUGUUUAGGGCAGUAUGGGUCCAUAACUAUUGGCACUGAAUUCAAUAAUAAUUUAAACUUCUAAGUUAUUACUCCCUAUAUAUUUGGGAGGUGAAAAUAUCUAGUGGAAAUGGCAAGCCACUGCGACAGCCUCCUAUUCCUUGUCAAAAAAUUCCUGCUUUCAUUAUCCUAAAGCAACACCAAAAAAAAAAAUACAACAUUUCUUCUCUCUUUUUUUUUAUGCAACGGCAAUCAUUUAAUUUAUUCCUUCUCCUUCUCUCAUUUCUAUUCUAACGGGGAGAAUAAAGAGACUUAUGUACUGUACUCUGAAUUUUUUAAAAAGAAGAAAUACUGUGCUUCUUUUGUGAUGCAUUAUACAGGGUUUGAACCCCUAAUUUAGUGCACAAAAGAAUUGCAAAGGGGCUCUGCUUGGUCAUUGGAUCAAGAUCCAAUGAUUAAGAAAAAAGAAAAAAGAAAAAGGUAACAAUUGAUUUAGUUUAUUUGAGUUAAUUGAAGCUUUUGAUAUAAUUUUCAAGUCCAAGCAAACCAACUUCCAAGAUAUACUUAUUAUAAUUAAAAAAAAUAAAUUACUAGUAGCAGACAAAACAAAACCAACAAACAACUCCCGAGAUAUUUACUAAUGUCCAUUUCGUUAAGGCACUGAUGUCACGUCUUUAAGACAAAUAGAUAGCAAAAGCGUUACAUCAUUGCGUCAGGAUUAAUAUAGCUGCAAAGACAGGAACGGUGGGAAAGAAGCGGAAACUUUGGAACCUUGAGAGUGAAACGGUACAAUUUCCAAAAACUUGGUAGUGAAUAAAUGUCCUGUCACAGCCUUCUUAGGCUCCCCUCCCCUUAGAUUAGGAUAGAAUAAGUUAUACAAAUGUAUCGUUGCUGACAAAAAAAUAAAUAAAUAAAUGUCUUUCUUCUCGAAUGAAUAUAAAUGAGCUUAGUGAAAUUGUACUGAAGGAAGGAUCAUAUAUGUAGAACUCAAAAAAUUUCACUAAAAAUAUAUAGGACAUAUAGUAUAUCAUAAAGUUAAUAUACAUAAUAGGGAGGCAAUUGACACACGUAUAAGUAUGUGCAUGUGAAAAAAAGAGGAAUAAAUCAAUAAUAUAUUAUUAAUUAUACAUAAUAAUAAAGCUAUCAAAUAUCACACUUCUCAAUUAAUGAUAAUAAUAACACUCCUAUUUGUACAGACUACUAGAUGAUCUAGUAAACAAGUCUUACAAUAACAAAAAAAUUUUAAUAAAAUAUUAAUUUGUAAAUAAUAAAAUUAUCAUAACUCAAGUCCAAUACAAUUAUUAAAACCUUAAUUUGACUAAAACGCUUUGGAAAAGCCACAUUUUUUCCUCAAUAGAACGCUGGCUACAUUUUUUCCGCCAUAGAAAAGCCACGUUGAGAUGGAGGGUCUGAUUUAAAAGUCUAGUAUGACAAAUUAUAAUAUAAGAACAAUAAUUGCUAACUUUUUUCAUCCUUUAGCACGGCAAAUUCUUCAAUAUCUUUAAGAUUUAAGUGCAUGAACUAAUUAGGUAACUUUGUUUAAUUUCUUCUCUCCAAAAUUUUCUCCCCAUUAUGAUAUGUCACAAGUAGCAACUUCGUUCCUUCUGAUAAAUAUAUUUUUGUAUUGACAAAAUUUUUUGAUUUGUUUUACCUCAUGCUUCUAUAUUUAUGAACUUUUAAUUUUGCUCAAUUUCAUUUUCACUAAUUGUUUCACAACUAUAAAUCAUUGAAUCACUUGAUUGAAUAACUUUGUUUUGUAUAAAUUUAAGUUGAUUGUCAACGUCCAAAAAAGAAAUAAAGAAUAAUUACUGAAUAAUUGAUUCUUAAGAAGUUUGAUUGAUAUUCAUGUAGUUUAGAAGAUUAAUGGAAACGUGCCCUUAUUUUGAUCCAGAAUUAUUAGGAUUUCUUUAGACUGGAUUCUGUGUAUGUUUAACAAAAUCUAUUGCUUUUCCUUUCUGGCUCAUGAAAAGGAGAAGAUAAAAAAAAAGCACCCCAUUAGCUAUCCUUUACCUUUUUUUUUUCUUCCGGAGACGACAAUUGUUAUAUAACCUAAUCUAUUCUAUACUAAGGGGAAGGGGGCGGACCUAAGGAGGAUCAGGGAUAACCCGGAGGGGACUGAACCACCACUGGACCAAACGGGUGCACAACACACUCGCUUGAAUUUUUUGAAGCAAACCACUUAAAUGUGGCAUUUUGAACCCUUGCCUUCCACCCCACAAGCUAGGUGGUGGCCGGUUCAUUAGCUAUCCUUUACCACUUCACAAUAUUUUAGUCUUUUUGAAUCUUUUCCACCCAUAAAGUGCCUUAAUAAUACUAACAGCAGUUUGUCAUUAUCCACAAAAACAAAAAUAUCAUGUCAGAAUUCGCACUAAACUCAACAGUAAUUCAAACUUCUAAGUUAUUACUACUAUAUUUGGAUGUUUCUUGGUAUCCUUUUUCUGCACAAGUACAAGAAUUUGUAUUUGCAAAUGCACUCUAAUAAAAGAAAAUAUAUAUAUAUAAACAUAGAGAUAAUGGGAUAAUAAUACAACAUAUCUAAGGUACAAUUCUUCCAAUUAAGACUAACUUCUUGAAAUAUAACAAAGAAUAAAAAGUUGCUCAUUUUAAUUCAUUUAAUUUUAUCAUUUUUUAGUUGGUUUUUUUUUGGUAUCCAUUGACAUGGUUUUCAGGCCAUGCAUAAUUAAAUUAAAUAAACACAUACCGGAAACUAUUAUUGCUUCUUUAAUGCUGCUUUUCCUUGCACCUUUAAGCAAAGAAUAUUUCAUGCCAUCCAACAAAUCAAAACGGACAUGCAGAUGAAGUAUUUGCUUUUCCUUGCCCAUUAAUUAAGCAAACAGGAAAGACAUUUCUCAUCUUUCCCUUGACCAAAAGAAUGUAUAGUAAUUCUUGGCAUGAACUUGGAUAUUUCUUAUCUCACAUUCUCAUGUGCUAUUUGCUUAAACAAUGGAUAUAGACAUAUCUUAAGGGCUCAAUGGAUGCCAAUGAUAAUCACUUCUGAAUAUGUUAUUGCAGAAAAUUCAAGAAAAAAAAGAUUGCUGGAGCUUGCAAACAUUGACUAAGAACAAUAUAAUAGGACACUAAUUACAAAUAGACCCUAAAAAUUAUGAGAUAAUUAAAGGAUCCGUCAUUUCCGCACAACAAACUGGACUUUAAUCAUCAGGGUGUUAUUUAAUUAGUAUCCUAUAGCUUGAUGGUGAAAUUCAUCUGAAGAAGUCAUGGAUAAAUAAACACACAACCAUAAAAAAGAAAAUUGAACAGUCACAUAAACUUUUAUGGAGCCGAAGAAUUAAAAUUCAACAACUUUAAAAUAAUUAAUAUCAAAUGAGUAGUAAGUUAAUAAUUAAAAUAUUCAUUAUGAAUAGUAACUUUGGAAAAAACACGUAACCAGAUUAAUUAUAAAAAUAAAAGUAUGCCAGCAAACUUUGAAAAAGAAUAAUGAUAAACAGCCCAAAAUCUGAUUUUUGCACGUUACGUAACCGAAACACAAUAAAUGGUAAAAUAUCUGAUUAACUUGCACGUGAUUAAUUCAUGUAGACUUUGUUGGUGGAUUUUGACAAUUUGAAUUGUGUAUUACUACUCUUUAAUAAAACAAUUCACUUUUACCAAAAUAAUGGAUAGCAGCUUUGGAAAAUGCAAAGGGUUUGAGGGAAAUUAAAAGAAGCAUGAAAUUCUUUUUGAAAGUUCAAGCAAAUCUUUGUCAAUUAUACAGAACCUUAGGCAUACUUUAAGCAUAGAAUACAUAAGGAAAACUCAAUUGUGGGGUUUUUUAUUCUUUUGGUAAGCUAGAAGAUGGGUUUUCACCCAUUAAUUUCUCGUCAUUUUGUUUAAAUAGAAUCUAUAUGUGUUAAAAGCUCAGGCCUUGUCUGCAUUGUGAUUUUUCGCAGAAAAUUUUUUACAUUUUUUUGCGAACACAUUUCUCAAUCAUCGUUUUAUUUCAUAUAUAUCAAAUCGUUACAGUACAUUUUUUUUAUAUAUAAAAACUCCUAAAAAUAGCAAUCUAAACAGAGAGUGUUCUUAUAUGUUUAAGCUUUCUGUACCGUAUGCUGAGAAUUUUGAAUUUUUCUUCUUCUUUUUUUUUUCUUGUUUGGGUUCAAGUCCCAUAAUUAUUUGGUUAAUCUAACUAUAUGUCACUGUUUAUCUCACCGUUUGUAAGCUAAUUGUGAUCAUGCGAGUUAUAAUAUAUGUCUACGUGAUGAACUUAUUACAAGAAAAAAGAAGAAGAAGAAGAAGAAAAGCUAUUUAUUUGAUGAACAUUGUUGAUAUAAAGUCCUCAAGUACCUCAAGUAAUUCUCUCAAAAGAAUGUAUACUAAAGGACUUCAUCAGAAGUUUCAUUUCAGCUACUUGAUCAGUAACUUAUAGUAACAAUCAGUAGCUUUAUUAAAAAUUUAGAAUGAAAAAGUUACAUUAGUUUAAUCUGAUCAAGUUUUAAAAGCAUCAGCAACUUCCAGAAAUUAAAUGGACUUUUUCCCUUUCUCCUUUUCUGUUUGAGUUGGAUUGUAAUUGAGUAAAAGAAUUAUCACCUUCAAUUGGUGGUGGCCAAGCAAAGCUACAUGCACCUUCAAGCAAAGAAUAUGAACAUCACAUCAAACAGAAAGGUGAAGCAAUUGCUUUGUAAUUGCCCACAAAUUAAGCAAAGAGUAAACAACAAAUUUUUUGGCAAUAUCAUGUGGUUGCUGGCCUUAUCUUCAUAUAAUUGGGAUCAUUGCAAAUCCUUAACAGUUCAUCUCAAACUUUUAGAGGGAAAAGAAAAAGUCCAAAAUGGUACUGUCAGUUGUUCAAACACCAGAAGAAAUAUCAUCUAGUGCAAUUAGCUCGGUCUUUGCCUCCAGAUAUGUUCAAGACCCCCUGCCAAGGUUCUAUUUCAACAAUCAUGUUAUAUGUAUUUUGCUCUAUUUUUAUGGGUUUUUUUUUUUACAUUAAUAUCAUCUAUUGGAAGGUUGUAUUUUACCUCUUGAGAGUAUUUAGUACCAGUUUUGUUUGUUGAGUGUUACUUAUUUAUUAAUUUUGAAUUACUUGCUCUUGCUUAAUUUUGUCUUCUCUCUUUUAUUUUUUCUUUUUUUGGUAAGGAACAAAGCAAAUGAUUGUUGUUGUUGCUAUUUCAUUGGCACUAAUAAAAGUGCCGUUUUAUCUGUUUUCAGGUAUAGAAUGCCUGAAAACACUAUUCCAAAAGAAGUUGCUUAUCAGAUUAUCCACGAUGAGCUCCAAUUAGAUGGGAAUCCAAGGCUUAAUUUAGCCUCGUUUGUUACAACUUGGAUGGAACCAGAAUGUGACAACUUAAUGAUAGAAUCCAUGAACAAGAACUAUGUAGACAUGGACGAAUACCCAAUUACCACAGAGCUACAGGUAAAUUCUUCAUCAUAUUAUACAUGGCAUGUAAGUUGAUAACAAAAAGAUAUAUGUAUAUAGAAGCACAUAAAAUAGCUACACAUGUCAUGGGCACACUAUUUUUUUUUUUUUUUUGAAUUUCGUUUUGGGGCCUUGCAAAGUUGGUUACCAUAGAUAUAUAUAAGUUGGUCCAUAUUUUCUUUGUCAAAGUUAGAUAUAUUUUUUUUUAUAAAAUCAAAAAUAUUUUUAAAUUAUUCUUUUGGAUUAUUAGAUUUAAAUUGGAAUUUUUGUGUGAAAUUUAUGCGCAAAUGUUAUUGAGGGUACACCAAAAUUCUUGUUUAAGUGAUUUUGUGAAAAGAGUAAAUAUAGCCUUUUUGAGUCAAUUGAGUGUAUUUGCUAUUCAAUUUUUUUUCUUUUAUUUAAAAUUUGUACUUUGUUAUUCUUUCCGAAUUCCUUUUUUGCAUAAUUUUUUUUUCUAGUACAGAAGGGGUGGGAUUAAAGAAGCGUGGACGGGGACGGAUUAAUUUGAAUCUUUCCAAAUUCUUAGUCAGCAUGAACUACGUUUUGCAGAAUCGGUGCGUGAACAUAAUUGCAAACCUUCUAAAUGCUCCGUUGGCUUCAAACAAACAAGCAAUUGGAGUUGGAACAGUUGGGUCUUCAGAAGCAAUUAUGUUGGCAGGAUUGGCAUUCAAGAAAAAAUGGCAGAACAAAAGGAAAGAAGAAGGAAAGCCUUUUGACAAGCCUAAUAUUGUUACUGGAGCAAAUGUGCAGGUAUCAUUCAAGUGUCUCAUUAUGUUUUCAGCAGAAGAUUAUAGGUUGGAUUGGACUAAUGGGAUUUUUUUUUUUUGGUAAAAAAUUAUUACAAGCACAUUUAUAUUUCAAAUCAUAAGAAUAUUUUGAAUAUAUCAUUGAUUGGAUUUGCAGAUAGAUAUCACUAAUUUUUUUUAUUGUCAUAUACCAUUUAUUAAAAGUCGAUUUUUUCGACCGAGCAUCCGUAGACAUUUUUGAUUGGAAAUCAAUAAUUAUUGUGGAUGUCAAUUAUAUUUAUAUAGUAGUAUGUAUUUUUCUUUAGUCCUUUAGUGUAUAAGAUCAUGCUUUUGGACAGGUUUGCUGGGAAAAAUUUGCAAGAUACUUUGAGGUGGAGUUGAAAGAAGUAAAACUAAGUGAAGGUUAUUAUGUGAUGGAUCCAAAGAAAGCAGUAGAGAUGGUGGAUGAAAACACAAUUUGUGUAGCAGCCAUUCUUGGAUCCACCUUGACAGGAGAAUUUGAAGAUGUCAAGCUUUUGAAUGAUCUCUUAGCAGAAAAGAACAAGAGGACAGGGUAACAAAUAAUUAACCAUCUGUUUUCUGAUUUGACCAUAUUUUUUGCUGCUAACUUGGCAUGUGUUUCAAUUUAAAGAAAAAAAAAAAAAGAAAGAAAAUCUCAGCAUGUGUUUGACAAAAUAUUUUUGUUUCAAUUUUUUUUAAAAAUUUCUUUUCCUUUUCUGAUGACUUUUCUUGCAGAUGGGAUACGCCAAUUCAUGUAGAUGCAGCUAGUGGGGGAUUUGUGGCACCAUUUAUAUACCCAGAAUUGGAAUGGGAUUUUAGGUUGCCAUUGGUUAAAAGCAUCAAUGUAAGUGGACACAAGUAUGGCCUUGUCUAUGCUGGGAUUGGUUGGGUUAUUUGGAGGAGCAAUGAAGACUUACCAGAAGAACUUGUUUUCCACAUAAAUUAUCUUGGAACUGAUCAACCAACCUUCACCCUCAAUUUCUCCAAAGGUACAUGUACUAGAGAGACAUGAUUAAGAUAGAUGACUCAAAGAAAAAUCACAAUAAGCACGGAAAAAUGUUAAUCGUACUCUCACUAUCAUUUUUAUCAUAUAAUUUUUAUGUAUUAGAUUGUAUGAUAAAACAAAUGAUGAUGAGAGUGCGAUCAAUAGAAAAUAGAGUGCGAUUAACAUUUCUUUAAGCACGAACAAAGAUUUAUUCGAGAUGUCAAUAUUCUAGUGACCACAUAAUUAAUGAAUUAUUUCCAACUUAUACAUAUAUGGGCUAAACGGCUAAUUGUUUUGGUUCUUCUUUCAACUCUUAAAUCUAGUAAAUCUCUCCUAACUGAAUAACUUGGGAUUUGCAGGAUCCAGUCAGAUUGUAGCGCAAUAUUAUCAAUUCCUGCGCAUGGGGUUUGAGGUAAACUAGGCACUGAACAUUUUUUGUUACUCCACCUUAUUUUGGUUACUUAUAUAACAGGGUUUGAGAUGAGUACAAUUGUCCUUAGAUGCAAUUAGUGCGGUUAUUAUACUUUUUUUUUUAUGAUUUGAUAUAUAUAUUUACAUAACUUUAUUGUAUUUUUUGAUUUGGUUUAUACUCGCAUAACUUUAUUAUAUGAUCGUGAAAUACAAUAAAAUUAUGCGAACGCACACCAAAUCAUGAAAAAUAAAAUAAAAUAACUGCACGAACCGCGCCUAAGGCCAACUGUGCCUAUCUCAAACUCACUUAUAUGUAUAAAACUAAAGAAGCUAAGUUGGAAUAAGCUCUGCAAAAUUUUGCAUUUUUGAUAAUCAAGGAAAAUUUUCCUUUAUUUUCCUUUGUUUGUUUUGAGAAACAUCAAAAUUUGUGUCUUAAUUCUGUAAAAAUCAUCAGGCGAUGAUUAUCAUCAUAAUUUCGAAUUUGAUACUUUAUUAUUAUAAGGUAAAUGACACCAAUGGUUAUUGAACUUUUGCUCAUCUUGCUAUAUAUAUAGUAUCUCAACUUUUUAAAGUGCCCAUUAAGUCCCUCAAAAGUAAAUAUUGAUUACAUAAAUAAAUGAAAUCCUUAAGUGUGGUGUAUUGGAUUCUAAAUGAACUCAAUUUCUUGAAAUUCUGCUGAUAAAACAUGAACUCAAAAUUUCACACAUUUUGACAAAUUGGUGCAGGGCUACAAAAGAGUGAUCAGAAAUUGCAUGGAAAAUGCGAAACUUCUUGUAGAUGGUCUAAAACAAACAGGUCGUUUUGACAUUAUCUCAAAGGAAAGAGGACUACCACUUGUUGCCUUCGGAUUCAAAGACACAAACAAAAGCUUGGCCUUUGAAUUAUCAAAAGCCUUGAGACACCAUGGAUGGAUUGUUCCAGCUUACACAAUGCCUGCAAAUGUUGAACACAUGGCUGUCCUCAGGGUUGUGGUUCGUGAGGAUUUGGGAAGACAACUUGUUGAGAAGUUAGUUUCACAUAUAAAUGGUGCAUUACUGGAGCUCGAUGAAACAGCAGAUAUUGUUUCGAAGAUUUUAUUUACUGUAGAAGUUAAGUCAAGUGAUGAAGAUCAGCAUCACGAGUCUAGACAUGAUCAUGAGGGCUCGUUGCAUCUACCAACGACUUCAAUACAUUGGAAGCAAGAUAAACAUGACAGGAUUCAAAAAAAAGUACAUAUAAGUGGUGGGAAAACCAAGGGUGUGUGUUAAAUUUCAUCUCAUGAAUAAGUCUUUUGUGAAAGAUUGGAUGUGUAACAUGGGGUGAUCACCACAUGUGUAAUUCAUUAGAUAAAUCCAAAAGAGAUUGUAAAUUUGUUUGUGCUUAUUUUAAAAUUAAUUUACUUCUUCGAAUUACUGUGCCUAUGACAUUGAUAACUUGAUACUGAAAAAUCAUCUUUGAAUACUAAACAUAUUGACAGAAACUAGACCCCAGAAGCCAACACACUUAAUGAAGAAAGGGUUCUCAAAAUCAUCCAUCCUGUCACCUAAAAAUCAGCCAGAAAUUUGGCUUCCAAAUGGAUCCAGGACAAACUUUCAGUCAUCUUUACAAAUUUGCUAGAAAUUUUUCAAAGAGUCAAUCAGGCUUUCAAGCUCAUUAGUUUGAAGUUUUAGAUUCUUGAGCCUGAGAGUGGCAAGUUAAUAUUCGUAAACCUCAAAGUGAUGACACCUAAGCCUUUUUCCUAGGGUUUUUUUGAAAACCAUAGGAAUAUUAUUAGGGUAGAAGUUAGAAAGGACAGAAAAUUGGAGUACUCUUGCGCCAUAUCUAGAUCAUCUUGGCAUGGUCCAAGCUAGCCCAGCCUAUUCGCAUAUUAGGCUCGAUUUUAAGGAGGACAAUCAUCAUCAAACUAUAGGCAUCUCACUAGACAAUCAGAAAAUUGUACACUCAAAUAUUAGUUUCGAUCUUCGGAAGUUGGUGGAUCAUCCAGUAUUCUUUAUCCGAUGAUAAAAAUUAUUGGAGAAGAGGGUACAUGUUAGAGGACUGGGUUCAAAGAGUAAUCAACAAAGACAACUGUGUAUCAUUACAUAUACCUUUCUCAAAACCUUUUAGGAACUGCUGUAUUUAGGCUUUGUUCUCGUAGCUCUUUACUCUCAAGAACUGUGGAAUAAUUGUUUCUAAUAAUGAGGAAUCAUUUAUCUGGUGUAAAGGUUAUGGCUAUUGCUACUCUACCCUCCGAGGAUGACGCCAAAGAGGAAGAAAGCGUAGAUGCAAGGCAUAAAGGGAAAAAAUGAAAGAAUUAAUUUUUUAUAUACAGACAGUUUAUACAUUUUCAUCAGUAGAUACAUGAUACAUAAUUUGAAUUUAAAUUUGAAAUUCAAAUUUUACAAAUGUGUGGUGUAGAUACUGUCAGUCAGUGUAUAUAAACUUUACUUAAAAAGAAAACUGCACAUCAAGGAUUUUGGUGAAACAUGCAAGAGUCAUAAGAGGGAGUGAAUCAUUUAUGGUAUGAUAUUUUGAAGCAAACAAUAAAGUCAAAAUCACAUGUGAUUCAUAAUUUGAAUAGUGGAUAGCUUUAUUUUGUAGCCCUCACAGGGCAGCUCGUUUGGUCACGGUUGCUUCCUUAAAGCCGUUGUCCAGCCUCCCGCAAGGGUUCGAGUCCCGUGGUUAACGUGUUCGGGGGGAUGGAGCCUCUCCUCCCGGGCCGGAGUGGGAUUAGUCGGGCCCCGUAAGAAUUGACCCGGACACCCACUCCGUCAGAAAAAAAAAAAAAAAAAGAUAGCUUUAUUUUGUAGCUUAGUAUUCUAGGAGUUACGUACCAAGGUAUCAUGCCAUUAAAUAUUCCAGUUCUUGACUAGUGGAGUGGAGUAUAUACAUGAAAUUCAGCUUUGAACAUGAAUAAAGCUUAGGAAUCUUAAUUAUAUACAAUAGAAUGCAAUUAUUAAUUGUCCAGAUAUCACGCCUCCUGACCAAAAUAGUCGUGUAUUGGCUAUUCUUGACUACAAGAUUUAAACUGUAUCAACCAAAUUAAUUAAUUAAUAUUUCACAUUCUGCUUCAUCAGUAGCUCUAAUUUCUGCAAUUCCCUCAUGAACUUUCAGGCAUGGUUACUCUACAAAGACGGCAGAUUUCAGGAGUUGGUCGAUGACCAUGUGAGUAAAUCUUGUUAUCUGUCCGAAGUUAUUAGAUCAAUUCAUGUAGGACUACUCUGUGUACAACAAUUUCCAGACGACAGGCCAAGCAUGUCAUCCGUGGUUUUGAUGUUGGCUAGUGAUAGAGCAUUACCUUUCCCUAAAGAGCCUGGCUAUUUCACUCAAAGAAAUUUGUUUUUUGAACCUGAGAAGAGUUUAUCAAGCACGAAAGCAGAUAGUUCUAGCAAUCAACUCACCGUCACGAUGUUAGAUGCUCGAUAGUUUUGAGUAAAUCUCUUGAUCCUCUUCUUUGUACAUGUUAACUUGAUGAUCUCAUAAUACAUAGUUGUUCUCAAGUUAAUCUUUUUGCUUAAUGAGAUAGUAUUUCGUUACGUUUUCUUUUAUUGUAGUACCUAAGAUGUGCUAGAAACUGGUAUCCAAUUCAACAACAUGAGCAGAAACAGCAGAAUUUUGAUUAGCCAAACCUUGGGCAUACAAGAGUAUAGCCAAGGUAAAAGCAAAUGCCAGAUUAAUCAUUUUCAAUGACUGGAGGGAUUAUAUGGACGUAGAGGCUUGAAGCAACUAAAAAAGGGCAUGUCUCAUGCACUGCAUCUCAUUACAGAGUUAGCACAAGAUGUUAUCAGCCAAGAGUUAAUCACAGCAUUGAUAAAAGAGACCCUUGAAAACCGAAAGCUGACGAAGGAGCCAAAAAGUGCAAUUAGAACAGGCCCUAACACGUUUGCCAUGACAUGCUCUAUUCAGUGAAUACUGCAUCAAAACAAUGCCCAUGAGUUAAUCACAGCAUUGAUAAUCAGCCAAGAGAUAAUCACGGCAUUGAUAAAAGAAAUCCUUGAAAACAGAAAUCUGAAGAAGGAGCCAAAACAUGCAACUAGAACAGGCCCUAACACGUUUGCCAUGACAUGCUCUAUUCAUUGAAUACUGCAUCAAAACAAUGCCCAUGAUUUGGCAGAAUCCUAGUUUCCCAAGAAUUGCAUGAUCAUAGAGUUCGGAACAAAACACUCAAACAAAAUAAAUAUACAUCCAGCAAAAAAAAAUGAGACCUUGUUAGAAUUACAUCCAGGAAAGAGCCUAAGAACAGCAAACAACCACCGUUAGAAUGGCCCAUCUAUAAAUUCUUCGGAUAUUAUAUAUGACUAGCUAUUGAGGCACAUCUGAUGUAUGUGCAACUCGUCAAGAAUUAUAAUUCAAGAAAAUUUUAUUAUCUCUUUUGGAUACCAUAUUUAUAAUUGUAAUCCAAUAAACUUUUUCCACAUCAUUCAAAAAUUUGAACUCCUAAAAUCAUCUAAGAGUUGAUAUCUCGUUUCACGUAUCGAACGGUGAAUUGAUACUCAUAGGUACGGUACCUAAAAGGUACCGUAAAACUCCCCUAUAACUAAUUAACUAUUUAUACGAAAAAGCAGAAUGUGGAAGGCAACAUAAAAUUUUGUUGGAAACACCCAAGCAAAUGGAGUUGAGCAAUUUUAAGGCCUGCUUCCAAAACAAAUGGACUCUUAGAGCAACUUAACCUAGUUACAUGCUUCCUUUAUCGAGUGUUGUAAACUAUACGUUUCAUUCAGAUAGGAAAUUUCAACUACCAUUCUGAUCUCGAAAGUUAUCCAAACCAGUGUGAUUUGUGGUAGGACUCGUUACGACUAUACACAAGAAUUGCUUAACAAAAACAACUGACUUGUGGAUGUUGCAUGUGAUGAACACAAAUUAAGGAUGGAUAAAGCAUUUCAUCAAAUACAUGAAAGACCCUUUGCAAUCAAACUUAGUUCUUUCAGCAGAUUAUCUAUUCUAACAAUGACAAAACUGAAUUAAAAAGGACUUACUUUAUCUUCAGAAACUUAAAAGAGUUUGCAGCCUUCCGAAAAACACAAAGUAGAUGUAAAAUACGGAACAAAAAAAGAAAAAGGAAAAAUGAAAAGUUAGAAAGAAAACAAAACAUUUUUUGAAGUUUGCGAGUUUAAAUACCUUUCCUGACACUUGCAUAAGGUCAUUGAUAAGGUGUUCGAGUUCUUGCACAAAUUGUCGAAAAUUCUGGUUGGAGAAGUAAUUCAAAGGCAAAUUGAUGUUGGUAGAGAAAUCUCACAAUGAAAAAAAAUUACAGUUUAGAUGGGUCGUUUGGGAUUGAGGUGGCUUAUAAAAAAUUAUUUAAUCGAUAGAUAGAGCUUUGAAACAAAGUACUCAAAUCCUUAAUCAUAUUGCUUGAGUGCAUACUUGCAUAACUAUUUUUCCUAUUUGAUAAUGUACAAAUCCUGGAUUCUUAAAAUAUAUUUACCUCUCAAUUUAGUUCAAAAUUUAUAAUAAAAUUGUUAAAGUUAAUUUUUUUAUUUUUUUGAAUAUAAAAGUUACUCUAAAAGCGCCAAUUUUGAACAUAUGUCGGAAGUGCUCCAUUGACCAAAAGUUUUAUUCCUAAAUUCAAACAACUUUGCCAAUCAAACAUGCUAAAAGUGCUUUUCUCUUGCAAAAUCACUUUUUUAGUAAGUGUCCCACACCCAAAAUGGAGCGUUAAUAGGGAUAUUAAUUACAAGACCAUAAGAUCUUUGGUCCAACAACAUUUGUAUGAUGAAUGAUGACUCCAUUUGAGCUCCAAAAGAAAUAAUAAAAUAAAAUAAGUGUAUGUAAACAGUUGAGUUUACAAACAUAAAGAAUUGAAAAAGCGGAUUCAAGUUUACCAAAAACAGGAUUAUUCGUUAUUAUAGAGAUGUGGAUUUAGUCUAUCCGUAAAUAAAGGGGUGGACUAAAUCCACAUUUCUACGGCCCAAAUUCACACCCCUAAUACAUUAAUGAUUCGUAUCAUGAGUAUUGAUAAUUUGUAUUAUUAGUAUUAAAAAUUAUAUUGAGUAUGGAUUUAGGUGGCAGAGUUGAGGAUUUAAUGUCACCCAUUUGUUUUAAUCUAAAACUUUGGGCCUGUUUGGAAUCUGAGUUUUUUGAGAGUUUGUCUAAAACUUUACUGUAGUGCACUAUAGAAGUUUUUGAAAAAAAUUUGUAGAAGUUUUUGUAAGGUAAAAAAUUUUGUAGAAAUUUUUGUAAGGUGAAAAACUUUUUUUUUCCUUUUUUUUUCUCUUUCUUCUUUUCUUUCUCUUUCUUUUUCUCUUUCUCUUUCUCUUUCUUUUUCUUUUUCUUUCUUUCCUUUUUCUUUUCUUUCCUCUCUUCUUCUUCUUCUUCCUUCCCCCUCCCUCUUCCCCGUUACCUCCGCCACCCCCAGCAACAACUCCACCAAUGCCACCUCCCGCCACCCCUCUCCUCCCUUUCCCCUUCUACUCCCCUCUACCCCACCACCCCUCCCCCACCACCCCCUCUGCCCCGCCACCCCCUCUGCCCCAUCACCCCCUCCCUCACCCCUGCAAAAGCUCCCCCUCCCUCUCCCUCUGCCCGCAACCCCCUUUCCCCACCCCUGCAAAAGCUUCCCCGCCACCCCUCCCUCUCCCUCUCCCUCUGCCGCCACCUGAGUUUUGCAGCAAUAGAAAUGAUUUUUUUUCCAAUGUUCCAUCUCCCUCUCCUCUCCUUAUCUUGCCGGCAGAAUAAGCAGCAACAGCCGAGUGUAAUUUUUUUUUUUUUGCAAUUUUCCUUCUUCCCAAGCUGCGGGAGGGAAGGUGGCGGGGAAAGGCAGAGGGAAAGAGGGGAGGGAGAAAGAAAAAAAGAAAAAGAGAUUUUGGAAACCAACAUAUCGGUCAAAGGGGGAGGGGAGGGAGAGAAAAAAUAAAGAGGAAGGUCGGCAAAAGUUGGCCGGAAUAGUUACCGGCGCCGGAAGCGGUGGUGGAGUGGUACCCGGUUGGGUGGGGGAGGAAAAAGAAGAAAAGUUGAAGGGAAAGUUUUUUGUGUAUUAUUUUGAAGUGUGUAAGUAAAAAACUUGGGGUUCCUGUAGCAAAAGUUGUUAAAAAACUAGUAGCUAAAAAACUUGGCCAAAAACUUCACUUCCAAACAAGCCCUUUGUCUCGUUACACUAGACUUACGAACAACACGAGCAUUCAACAACAAAGGAAAGCACAAAUUUUACUUUUUAUUACCGGUACUCAUUCGUUCAACUCUGUGAAAGACAAUAACAAGCCGUAGGUGUACGUCCAAUUUAUUUUAACGUUCGAUUGCAUAACGUUAGAUUACUUAGAUUGAUAGGUGUACGUCCAAAUAUAUAUACUUUCUAAACUUUAGUAAACUAUCUACGGAGCCUUUAAACUAUCGUAAUUAUCUUAAAUUGGACUCUCAUUUAUUUUAAAUUAUAAAGUAGCCCGUCAAUAAUAAAAAUAGUCAAAUUUUAAUUAAUGCUUCAAUAUAUUUUCAUUGUUGUAUUAGUCCAAUUUGCCCUCAUACCCAUCCAUUUUAUCGGCGGAGAUGGACUGAAGGAUCGAAAUUUGACACUUUUUUAUUAUUGAAGAGCUAAUUUAAGACUUAAAAUAAAUAAGGGACCAAUAUAAGACAAUUUAGCUUAAAAAGUCCUUAGAUAAUUUGCCCAGUCUCGUGUGCAUGAAAUAGAAAAUAUAACCUCAUUUGUACACACUUACACUUUUCCAUUUCUUUCUUCUACUUCUUCAGCAUGCCGAGAAGUACUUAUUAUUCACACGGUUCAGUAAGAACAUAUGAGACAUCUCAAGGCUCAAGGCUCAAGUCUCUAGAGUUAUUCCUUAAAAGUUUUUCAAAAGAAAAUUCUAUGUACAGGCGACCAUCUCAAUGUUUCAAACUGCAAAUGAUUUGUCGUUUAACCAAAACGAAGAAAAAGCACACAUCUAACAAAAAAAAAAAAAAAGAUGACUUAGAAUCAUGGUACAAGCAAGAAAUAGUAGCAAUUGUCAUUCAGGCUUUGUGGUUGUCAAAUUGAGCUUGAGUUUAGAUAUAGGUAACAUUUUGCUUUAAUUUUUUUAAUGAUUCUUUGAUAUUAUAGUUGAUAUUAGAUAGAGAAACAUUAUAAAUUUCUUUUCAAACUUUUGAAGAGAAAUUUUCUAGUUGUAUGAACUUUUAAUUGACAUCUGAAAUUUUAGCAAAAAAAUCCUAAUUUUUUUCUUGAUUUUGGGAUUUUAUGUGGAAAUGCAUUAGAAUUUCCUGCAUAAGAGUUAAGAUCAAUGAAGGAAGGAAGAGUUCAUAAGAAAAUCAUAACCAACGUGGCUCCCUCAACUAGUUGUUUUGCACUAGGCGCAAGGAUGGAUUUUGUGGGCAAGUCGGAUGGGAGAGCAUUACUAUUUGCAGAGAUUGUACAGCAAUUACAGCUACUAGGGAGGAUGACUGUAGAACAAGAUGGAACUCCACAUUUGAGACGCUUAGUUGCUCUUUGAGAUUCAGAGAUGUUUUUUCGAGAUUUUGUGACAGAGAAUCACAUUAUGAAAGUUGUCCCUCUAUGGAAGAUUGGAAGAAGGUAGAGAAAAUGUGUUUUGUUUUGGAGAGCUUUUGGGCAGCCAGACAAAUCAUAUCAGGGAGUGACUAUCCUACUUCUAAUUUAUUCCUUCAAGAGGUCCCAAAGAUAAAGAUUGUUUUGGACACUUGAGCAAAUUCUGAAAAUGAAUUUUACAGGCUAUGGUUUGAAAAAUGAAAUUGAAGUUUGAUAAAUAUCGGGGAGAAUGCAACAUGCUGCUAUCAAUCAUGGCUAAUCUUGACCUGAGGCAAAAAAUGGCAGCUAUAGAGUUCAGCUUUCUAGGACAUAUCCUGCUCAUGAAACCCAAAGGAAUAUUGCAAGUGUUAAAAGGACGGUGUUAGAUCUACAUAAAGAAUAUGUGGCUGCCAAUAAAGACGGAAAGUACAUGAAGCACAAGCUGGUAGUUUUGGUAACCAAGAUGGACUAGAGGCGUCCUCAUCUAGAUGGGCUGACUUCAAUGAUUAUUUGAAGGAAGUUGAAACAAUUGAGCCUCAAAAGUUAGAAUCAGUGGACUACUUGGACAAGUCUCACCACAAGGCUGGACCAAAACCAAAAGAAUUUGAUUGCCUGACCUAGUGAAAACGAAAUAGGAUGACAUAUCGUAUUUUGUCCUAAAUUUUUUUUUUUUUUUUUGUCAUCACUGUGGGUAUCCAGGUCUACACCCGACUAAUCUCACAGCGCUCCAGCAGAGCGGCCCGACCGAUGUUGAAGAAGAUAACAACUGGGUUGCUGCCCGGGAUCGAACUCAGGUGGAACUCACCUAAGGAGUCUACUUCCACCAGCAGACCAACCCAGCGCGGGCUCCUAUUUUGUCCUAAAUGGCUGCUGACAUUUUGGCGAUUCCUGUAAGUAUAAUAGCUUCUUUAGAGGCCACAUUUAGUCCCGGGACAAGAGUCAUAGAUGCUUAUCACGGCUUCGCUAUCUCCAAAAACUAUUCAAGCCUUGAUAUGCGGGGUUGAUUGAUGUAGAAAUAUGUGUGGAAUAAAAAAGAAAGCAAAAGCAAGUUUCACCUUUUAUUUAAACAAGUUAUUCAAUGUUGAACUAUAUGUUGUUCAUUAAUGAUGUAUUUACAUGUUCUUUUUUCUUUUUUCUUUUUUUGGCAGAAUAUGAAAACUCCCAAAGAAAUUGCGAUUCCUAUUCCCUAUUGAUGCAACCUUCAUGUGCUCUAGGUCUAGUUUUUAUUUCUUGUUGAUAUUUUAAUACCAUUUGAUUUGUAAUGCGCUUGUGCUCAUUCCUAUUUUCUUGCAUUUAUUUACUCAUUCACAACUUUUAAAGUUGUCUUAAGGACGGAGAGGUCUAAAAGAAUGGCUAAUACAGUCCUCAGAUAUUUAACUUUAGAACUGUUAGGAAAAAGUCUGCUUUUGUGCUCUGAUUUGGUUAUGAAUUGUGACUGCUGCUGGGACAAAAAGAUUAAUAACUUCUAGGACUACUCUUUUCUAAUUGGUUGCUUUUCGUGUACGAUGGGUAUUGGUACUAGAAUGUAGAUGGGCUGACAGCCCAGUUAAAAGAUGUUUUACUUGUCAAAUUGAAAUAUUGAAUAUGUUGAUGACUGAGUAGCUUGCUGGGUGUUCUAGUAACAAUCCUGUUUUCUUUGUUUUUUAUUUUUUCUUUUGCAAUAUUCUAUUUAAGUUUUUGCUAGCGCGGUGAGUUAUUAGUGUUAAAAGAAAGGUCUACUUGGAUUGCUUGUAGUUAGUCACCCAUGUUGUUGGAAAUUUCAUUUUUGGGAGGUAAAUAAGAAAAAGAUGUUGCUAGAAAAUUCUAAUAAAAUUCAAUACAUUAAGUUCGAGUUUGAGUUCAAUUAGACUCAAGUUUGCUCAAUUAGUCUCACGUUUGUCCAAACGAGUCGAAUUUGAGCAUAUCAGAAACCUUAGCGAGUCGAACUCGAUCUAUAGAAUUUCAAAUUCGAUCAAGUCGAACUUGAUUUCGAAUAGUACUAUAUUAAGUCCAGCUCAAACAUGACACUAUUUAAGAUCAACUCGUUUCGUUUAUACCCCUAUAUAGAACGCUUACCCUUACAUAGAACGCUUAUCAAGUCAAGUGUUGAAAUAUCUUAAGCAUUGAAUUUGGCAUAUACACAAAUAUUUUGUUCUUACAGUAUCAAUCCAACUUUCUACCUGCACGUUCUUUACUCUACUACAUCGAUCCCACACUUAAAAACUUUUCACAAAGUAAAAAGCCAGUAAUUUUUCUCUGGAUAAAAUGGAAAGUUUUUCUUCCUUCAUUCCAAAAUUUAUCUUUCUUGGCCAGUCCCAUUUCAACAAGGUAUAUCUAUGAUGUGUGUGGGCUUAGAAAAUUCAAUUACCCAACAAAAACCCCAAUGACCAGUGGGCUAGGCUAGGAAGUUCUAUUUGAUUUGGCUUUCCAUUUUUUUUUUUUUUGUGGUUCACACUUUUUAUUCUCAAAAUUAUUUCGCAUUAUUUCAUUUUAAUCUCAAUACUAAUUAUUUUCCCCAGCCAUAACUAUUUUCAAACCGACCUUUCUUUGUCUUUGUAUAUAUAUAUAGAGCUCCGCAUUUUGGGUACAUUUCCACAAACAAGCCUUCUGCUGCCGCGUACAUCUCAAGCUUUCCAUUCUCUCUACGGUGGUAUCUCUCAAGCCCUAAUUUUUGCCCCAGUUGUCUCUGUGUUUUCCUACCUGAAUUAUGCGAUUUUUUUGUUUGAUUUGUUCAAUUUUUUCCGUCUUUUGUCCUGUUGAUAAUCGUUUGACUGGUGUAGUUCUAGAUCUACAAAUUUUAUCAUGACACGCUGAUGAUUUGUCGGUUCUCUGCAGAUAAUUUUAUUGGGCAUUUUGUCGACGAUUUUAGAGCUUGAUUGUUGCUUAUUUAUUGAUUUGUGUAUGUUUUUGUAUGUGAAUUUGUUUGGAUAGGUUCUCUAUCUUCGUAAAUCAGGCGUUUAAAUGUUUGCCAGGUAAAUUUGGAGUCAUAUGUCUUGUUCUGUUUCUGUUUCCUUUUUGUUUAAGUAAGAUUUUGUACAUGUUUGUGGGCAAUCAUGUUUAUAUAGGUUAAUUGGCCUAGCUUAGUUUAGGAUAUUGGGGAAGAAAUAAAAAGUGAACAUUUUGAAGUUUUGCGGGAGAAGGAAAUGAGGAGAUGCUUUAUUGAGUUCUUUCCCCGUCGUGCGUUCAAGAAAAAAAUAAAAAGGUUUUGGAUUUAUGUCUUUUGAUUUUGCUCCUCAACAUCUGUGAGGAAGUUUUGGACCCUCCAGAAUCUCUGAGGGGGAAGUAGUUAAAUUGUUCAAUCUCUUCAUUUUUUUCACAAAUUCCUCGUAGCUUUUCUUGCCAAUUACGGCAGACAAAAUAUAAAAGUGAACCUCUUGCUGCUUAUCCUUUUCACUGUUUGAGACAUGAGAUUCUAUGGUGUUUAGAACAUGAUUGCAUUUCAGACUUCAGAUGUGACCUAUGGGAUGGCUUCUUUUCAUAUCAUAAAGAAAUUCUUCAAAUAGCUGAUUUUUCAUAUAGCUGAUUUUUGUUUUGUUUUGGUACUUAAUCAAGUGAGAAAUAUCCUGUUCUGAUGUAUGUUUUUUGUUGUAUUUGCAGCGUACUGAGUCAAUCUGCGAUGGCUGAUGCUCAUGAAAUUGAUAAGAAUAUUGAGAUAUGGAAGAUUAAGAAACUCAUAAAAGCACUUGAGGCAGCUCGAGGUAAUGGAACGAGCAUGAUUUCUCUUAUUAUGCCUCCACGUGAUCAAAUAUCCGAGUCACUAAGAUGCUUGGAGAUGAAUUCGGAACUGCAUCUAACAUUAAAAGUAGGGUGAACCGACAAUCUGUUCUGGCUGCGAUUACAUCUGCUCAGCAAAGACUAAAACUUUACAAUAAAGUACCACCCAAUGGGCUUGUGCUUUACACUGGAACUAUCGUGACUGACGAUGGGAAGGAGAAGAAGGUCACCAUUGAUUUUGAGCCUUUUAGACCUAUCAAUGCCUCUUUGUAUCUCUGUGACAACAAGUUCCAUACAGAAGCGCUGAAUGAACUUCUAGAAUCUGAUGACAAGUUUGGCUUCAUUGUUAUGGAUGGUAAUGGGACACUCUUUGGAACUUUGAGUGGCAAUACAAGGGAGGUCCUUCACAAGUUUAGCGUUGACCUCCCCAAGAAGCAUGGAAGAGGAGGGCAGUCAGCUCUCCGUUUUGCUCGUCUUCGAAUGGAGAAGCGCCAUAACUAUGUCAGGAAGACUGCAGAACUGGCUACCAGUUCUAUAUAAAUCCGUCAACAAGUCAGCCCAAUGUCUCGGGACUAAUUCUUGCUGGAUCAGCUGACUUUAAGACCGAACUUAGUCAGUCUGACAUGUUUGAUCCCCGUCUUCAGGCAAAAAUUUUGAAUGUGGUGGACGUCUCUUAUGGUGGUGAAAAUGGUUUUAAUCAGGCAAUUGAGUUGUCAUCUGAAAUCUUGUCCAAUGUCAAGUUUAUCCAGGAGAAGCGUUUGAUAGGCAAAUAUUUCGAGGAGAUAAGUCAGGAUACUGGGAAGUACGUUUUUGGUGUGGAUGACACAUUAAAAGUUCUUGAGAUGGGUGCUGUUGAGACUCUCAUUGUGUGGGAAAACCUGGAUGUGACUAGAUAUACUCUAAAGAAUAGUUCCACAGGUGAAGUUCUUGUUAAGCACUUUAAUAAGGAGCAAGAGGCUGAUCAGAACAACUUUAGGGACCCAGCUAGUAAUUCUGACCUGGAGGUUGAGGAUAAGAUCUCCUUGCUUGAGUGGUUUGCUAAUGAGUAUAAACGGUUUGGCUGCAGUCUGGAGUUCGUCACCAACAAGUCACAAGAGGGAUCUCAGUUUUGUAGAGGUUUUGGAGGAAUUGGAGGGAUCUUGCGAUACCAGCUUGAUGUUCGAGCUUUUGAUGACCUGUCUGAUGAAGGAGAAGUUUACGAUGAUUCUGAAUAGCAAUCAAUUAAGUUCUUAAAUGCUGGUGCAGGGAGGCAGCACCAAGCCUGCACCAGUGCGCGAGGGCUCGCGCAGGUUCAUUCGGAUAUGGUGCUAGUGCCUGAAAGAUUUCAAGGAGUUAUAUAAAGGUCAAUUGGCAUUUCUUUUUCCUACCGCUCAUGUUCCAUCUUUUGCAGAUACUAUUAACAUUACUAAUUGUUGUUGAUGCUAAUCUUUGCUGUUUUGAACAUUAGUUAGCUUUAUGUGUUUUGCAUGUUUUGAUUAAUGGACAGAUAUGAAGUAUCAGGUGAAAAGAAUUUACCAGUCCCUCCCACGUUUCUACUGGGAGGUGAUACGAAGGUUGCACUGCUUGAUAAUCAACUUGCUUGCUGGAAGAAUUAAGUACUAAAGAUACUCAAGAAGGCAUUGGAGGAGCUUGCUCCUUGGGCAGUUGGUUUUGGAAACAUAUUCCAUGUACUUUCUUGAGAGAGAAACUUACAUUUAGUAGUUCUAUGUAGGAUCUAUGGUGUGGGAUUGCGUCAAGUCUGCAGUAUUUUCCAUAGAACAUGGCUACUAUUAGUUCUAUGGCUACUAUUAAAGUGUUUGCGGUGAAUAAUGGACAGCUAUUAUAUUGUCUAUGAUGAUGAUGAUGUUGCAUUGUGGUAAAUGUCAACAAUUGUGGACCUGUUGACAUUGACUUUGGCAUGUCUAGUGUUUGUGGUAAUAGUAGAAAAUGGUAUUUUUGGAUCAGUGAUCCUGUAACCUGUUGCCUAAAGCCCUGUUACGUUGGUUGAGUUGCUUUGAAUGUUGGUUUGCAAAAGAGACGUGUUUGUGGGAGUCUUUCGAUUUUGGCA